CAACCGUAAAGAAAAAAAAAAAAGAAAGAAAGAAAGAGAAAGAAAGAAGAAAGAAAGAAAAGAAAAAGAAAAAGAAAAAGAAAAAAGCAUCUCCAAAUGUAUCUCCCAGUAACUCUGUUCCUGAUCUUUGAUGGACCUCUGGUGUAUUUUUGUUCUUGUUGCUGGGAGGGAGAAUGUCUUAGAUAGUCCACAUGACAAGUUUUUUCAAUAAUCUCUAGUCAAUUUCUGACACAAUCUGAGUGAGAAAGAGUAAUUUUAAAAUGAAAAACAAGUUCAUUUUCAACCAAUAGAAAAUGAAUAGGGGACUGCUCCAGCCAGAGACAGAAGGUCAAGUUCCUGUUACCAAUUCAUGGCUACCCAAAUGCUCUGGAGACACUGAGCAAAAAGAUUGAGUCAAUGUAAGAAGGACACAUCCCUAUCUCUACUCAACAAUUUCCAGGGCCCGUUCCUUUCACUCUAAAAGUUUUCUUCAACUUUAAUUAUAAUCUUAUUUUAAAUAUGGCUCCUGAGCUCAGGAGAAAAAUCUGGAGUAUGAAGAAAACAAGACUAGAGUCAAGACCAGCUGACCGGAAGAUCCUGGAUACUUGAGCUUUUCUUGAAGACUAUCCUUCCACCCUUAAAUGUACAUGUGCUGCCUGAGAAGUUCUCAAUUGAUGAUAGUUCAAAAUUUGCAUAACUUCACAUAUCUUUGAUGUAACUGAAUAAAUGCUUUCCAAAAU
Long non-coding RNA from Homo sapiens (human), 719 nucleotides. Lineage: Eukaryota; Metazoa; Chordata; Mammalia; Primates; Hominidae. The record is from Ensembl.